GAGACCACAAUGGUGGGGUGAUGCAGGAUUAACCCAGGCCUUUGACAGAUUAGGCCAUGCCUGUCUGGGCAGAAAAUAGGUAGAUAGGUUAAGG
Non-coding RNA from Pseudonaja textilis, 94 nucleotides. NCBI's taxonomy places the organism in Eukaryota, Metazoa, Chordata, Lepidosauria, Squamata, Elapidae. The record is from RefSeq and is a predicted model, not a curated record.